Molecule: ribosomal RNA, 253 nt
Filed under: uncultured bacterium
Lineage: Bacteria
Description: partial 16S ribosomal RNA
Rfam family: Bacterial small subunit ribosomal RNA
Source: RNAcentral
UACGGAGGGUGCGAGCGUUGUCCGGAAUCAUUGGGCGUAAAGGGCGCGUAGGUGGCCCGGUCAGUCCGUGGUGAAAGCGCGGGGCUCAACCCCGCGUCGGCCAUGGAUACUGCUGGGCUUGAGCACUGUAGAGGCAGGCGGAAUUCCGGGUGUAGCGGUGGAAUGCGUAGAGAUCCGGAAGAACACCGGUGGCGAAGGCGGCCUGCUGGGCAGUAGCUGACACUGAGGCGCGACAGCGUGGGGAGCAGACAGG